UAUUAAUAUAACUGAAUAAAAAAGAAGGAUACGCGUGAGAUAAGUAGUUGUAUGCCUACAUUUUCCAUUUUUUUUUUACAGGGUCGCUUUUUUUGUACAACUUUUUUUUCGCAACACACACCCAAAACUAUGUAUGUAAUCAUGCUGGAUGGU
This 153-nucleotide non-coding RNA is filed under the name Thalassionema frauenfeldii. Lineage: Eukaryota; Bacillariophyta; Fragilariophyceae; Thalassionematales; Thalassionemataceae. The record is from RNAcentral.